GACGAACGCUGGCGGCGUGCCUAAUACAUGCAAGUUGAGCGAUGAAGAUUGGUGCUUGCACCAAUUUGAAGAGCAGCGAACGGGUGAGUAACGCGUGGGGAAUCUGCCUUUGAGCGGGGGACAACAUUUGGAAACGAAUGCUAAUACCGCAUAACAACUUUAAACAUAAGUUUUAAGUUUGAAAGAUGCAAUUGCAUCACUCAAAGAUGAUCCCGCGUUGUAUUAGCUAGUUGGUGAGGUAAAGGCUCACCAAGGCGAUGAUACAUAGCCGACCUGAGAGGGUGAUCGGCCACAUUGGGACUGAGACACGGCCCAAACUCCUACGGGAGGCAGCAGUAGGGAAUCUUCGGCAAUGGGCGAAAGUCUGACGGAGCAACGCCGCGUGAGUGAAGAAGGUCUUCGGAUCGUAAAACUCUGUUAGUAGGGAAGAACGUUUGUGUAAGUAAAUAGGCCAUUAAGUAAGGGUAACUACCAAGAAGGCAACGGCUAACUACGU
This 496-nucleotide ribosomal RNA is filed under the name uncultured bacterium. RNAcentral's name for it is "partial 16S ribosomal RNA". It matches the Rfam family "Bacterial small subunit ribosomal RNA", at positions 28 to 506 of the family's 1533-position model. The record is from RNAcentral.